GCCUACGGGAGGCAGCAGUCGGGAAUAUUGCGCAAUGGAGGAAACUCUGACGCAGUGACGCCGCGUGCAGGAAGAAGGUUUUCGGAUUGUAAACUGCUUUAGACAGGGAAGAAACAAGACAGUACCUGUAGAAUAAGCUCCGGCUAACUACGUGCCAGCAGCCGCGGUAAUACGGAGGAUGCGAGCGUUAUCCGGAUUUAUUGGGUUUAAAGGGUGCGCAGGCGGCACGGCAAGCCGGCGGUCAAAUCGCGGGGCUCAACCCCGCCCAGCCGUCGGAACUGCCGGGCUAGAGUGGGCGGGAAGUG
Molecule: ribosomal RNA, 305 nt
Filed under: uncultured bacterium
Lineage: Bacteria
Description: bacterial SSU rRNA
Rfam family: Bacterial small subunit ribosomal RNA
Source: RNAcentral